GUAGUCGUGGCUGAGUGGUUAAGGCGAUGGACUACAAAUCCAUUGGGGUCUCCUGCUGACUAUG
RNAcentral lists this transfer RNA (64 nucleotides) under Astyanax mexicanus (Mexican tetra). It matches the Rfam family "tRNA". From Rfam's summary of the family: Transfer RNA (tRNA) molecules are approximately 80 nucleotides in length. Lineage: Eukaryota; Metazoa; Chordata; Actinopteri; Characiformes; Acestrorhamphidae. The record is from Rfam by way of RNAcentral.